RNAcentral lists this long non-coding RNA (2209 nucleotides) under Mus musculus (house mouse). Its description in RNAcentral is "long non-coding RNA chr2:96682048-96684257". The record is from RNAcentral. Lineage: Eukaryota; Metazoa; Chordata; Mammalia; Rodentia; Muridae.
GCUGUAAUCAGUAGUGUGAUUGUUGAGCUCUGUUUGAGAUAACAGCAAUUGAUUGAGUGUCUCGGCCUAGAGUGUGACUAGAUAUUGUGAAAAACUAGGGAGAAGAAAAUAGAAACAAAAUGGAAAGCUUGCAUCGUUAUAGACUGCAUCUUGUGAUGAUUCUUCUUGAUUCCCUCGUGCUUGCAGACUGGAGAUACAGCUUGAGAAAUGCUGGGUACUAGUGGCCGGUUACUGUCUGUCUGUCUGUCUGUCUGUAUGUCUGUCUAUCUAUGUAUCUUUCCAUCCAUCUAUCAGAUAUCUAUCAUCUACCUACCAUCUAUCUAUUUAUUAGACAAGGUCUUAUAAAUAACUUUGGCUGGCCUCAAAUGUGUAUUCUUCCUGUCUCAUUCUUUCAAAUUCUGGAAUUAUGGGCACACAUCACCUCUGACAUAAAAUUUUAAAUAAAGUACUUUCUAUAAAUUAGAAUUAACCAAAACUAUGAGAACAUUAUUUUUUCAUACAUGAGCAGAUAAUAAAUAUAUAAUUGAACCUGGUCAUAUAACUUUCAUUGUAGCAAAAAGGAGAAUAGUUUAAUGCACUGAAAAUGGAGGUAACGUUUAUAGCCUCACUAGGAAGAAGUUUCUAUUGCAGUUCUGUUUACAUUUUCAUACCAGUGUGAUCUGUGAUAAUUUUCAUAAGCAAUAGCAUUUUUCAUUCAUUUAUCUUCCUCUGCAUUCAGAAUCUGGAUAUUUUCAACUGUAGAAACUUGAGUCCUUACUAGUUCAUCGGCAUAGUAUGAAUAAUCAGAGUGAAGAUUCUAAGAUACUUCUGAAGCAUUUAAAAUAUCCACUUAAAUUUUGCAAAAAAAAAAAAAAUUCUAAAUUACAUUUCUCUUGCAUUGAAGAUAACAUGGACUCUGCGGAGAAUUGCACAAAAAGAUGAUGCAGUUUCAAGGGAAGUCCCUAAGACAAUAUUCUUUUCAUUAUAAAUGCAUGGAGAGAGUAAAGAAAAUUAGGUAGUCCUUUAUCCAAAUGCAGCCCAUGCUUGUCGUUGAAUGUUAUUAUGCCAAGUAAUUCAUCCAGAUAAAAGGCUCUUAAUGUUAUCCUACAGUAAGUGAUAUUCUUAUUUGAUUAUACCUGUGCAUAUAUGGACAUAUGCCCAUAAUAGGAAAUCAAAGACCGGGCCAUAUGCAGAAUAGUCAAGCCCUCUACUGUUGUGAGAAAUAUUAAAAAAAAAAAAAAAAAGAACCCGCCAACUCUCAGCAGGAUCAGGCCAUACUCCUGCACUCCUGCUGCAGCCAACAACUCUCCUGAUCUAGCCCCUGUGCCAGGAGAUCUCACUCACUUGGUCUCUCAGCACACUAACUCCCCAGCCCUGAGAGGCCACGUGGCUCCCACCAGGCCAUCUCUCUGACAGGCCCCGAGUUCCUCUUGCUUUCACCCAACGCCCUACGCACCCCUGGUGAGCCGUCUCACCACUUAAUUACCAGGUAGAGUCGAGACUCUUAAUGCUUAAUUAGCCAAUCAGAUUUAUGUAUCAAUAAUAACACAAUUUACAUGAUGCCAAUACAAUAAUUUCAGAUCCAAAUGAUAAUGAUAAAGCUUUAACCCAAUUACUAUAACCUUUUGAUAAUACCAGGUCCGACUCCAUUCUGUUUCUCUCCUCCUCAGACUUCUCUCCCUGUCUCAACUCCUCACUCCGCCUCUCUUCUCCUGUCCAAUCACAAGCCUCCCACUGCCCUAAUGUGAUUGGACAGGAAAAAUCCUGCGCCACUCUACUGCUUAGCUAACCUAUGUAUUAUCAGCAGCCCUGUAUUUAUUUUCAGUGAGAAUAGGGAAGAUUUCACAGGCAUCAUUCUCAGUUUAACUUUUAAGAAAAGGAAAGAAACAUCUGAAAAAUGAAUUCGUUAUAGCUUACAUAGUACUAUCAGACCUUAUUCUAAAAUGCUUAACAGUGUUUCAUCUCAGGUUUUAUAAUUAUAUCAUGGUUCCCAGCAGAAGUGAAAAUUCAUGAACUAUAAUUCUGUAUAUUGCAUUAAAGUUAGCUGAUAGCAUGCCUGGCACCCGUUGGUAAAGUCAUUGCCAUUGACAUCAACAGAGAAGUUCAGUGAUGUUGUCUUACUUUGGUCAGUACAACUGUAUCAAUUUUUAUGAGGCUACAAGUAACAUUGUGUAACUUUAUAAAGUACAUGCUCAUAAUAGGGAAAUUAGAAAGCAGACACUAAAAAGGC